UAUGAUAGAGGUCGCAUUUUUUAUCAGUAGCUUUCGGGAUGCAGCAGGUGCAUGAGAACGGAAGUGAAAGGAAACGAUGCCGAAAGGAAAAGUAUCCUGCAUAUUUUUUCUUGGGCAUGCAGCAAACAGCUGUAUGACUGUCAUCAGAACAUGAUGGGGAGCUAUCG
RNAcentral lists this non-coding RNA (167 nucleotides) under pig gut metagenome. RNAcentral's name for it is "Lysine riboswitch". It matches the Rfam family "Lysine riboswitch aptamer". From Rfam's summary of the family: Riboswitches are metabolite binding domains within certain messenger RNAs that serve as precision sensors for their corresponding targets. Allosteric rearrangement of mRNA structure is mediated by ligand binding, and this results in modulation of gene expression. This family includes riboswitches that sense lysine in a number of genes involved in lysine metabolism, including lysC. The record is from RNAcentral.